CCCUUUGGGGUGUGACUGCGUACCUUUUGUAUAAUGGGUCAGCGACUUAUAUUCUGUAGCAAGGUUAACCGAAUAGGGGAGCCGGAGGGAAACCGAGUCUUAACCGGGCGUUAAGUUGCAGGGUAUAGACCCGAAACCCGGUGAUCUAGCCAUGGGCAGGUUGAAGGUUGGGUAACACUAACUGGAGGACCGAACCGACUAAUGUUGAAAAAUUAGCGGAUGACCUGUGGCUGGGGGUGAAAGGCCAAUCAAACCGGGAGAUAGCUGGUUCUCCCCGAAAGCUAUUUAGGUAGCGCCUCGUGAAUUCAUCUCCGGGGGUAGAGCACUGUUUCGGCUAGGGGGCCAUCCCGGCUUACCAACCCGAUGCAAACUGCGAAUACCGGAGAAUGUUAUCACGGGAGACACACGGCGGGUGCUAACGUCCGUCGUGAAGAGGGAAACAACCCAGACCGCCAGCUAAGGUCCCAAAGUCAUGGUUAAGUGGGAAACGAUGUGGGAAGGCCCAGACAGCCAGGAUGUUGGCUUAGAAGCAGCCAUCAUUUAAAGAAAGCGUAAUAGCUCACUGGUCGAGUCGGCCUGCGCGGAAGAUGUAACGGGGCUAAACCAUGCACCGAAGCUGCGGCAGCGACGCUGAUGCGUUGUUGGGUAGGGGAGCGUUCUGUAAGCCUGCGAAGGUGGCCUGUGAGGGUUGCUGGAGGUAUCAGAAGUGCGAAUGCUGACAUAAGUAACGAUAAAGCGGGUGAAAAGCCCGCUCGCCGGAAGACCAAGGGUUCCUGUCCAACGUUAAUCGGGGCAGGGUGAGUCGACCCCUAAGGCGAGGCCGAAAGGCGUAGUCGAUGGGAAACGGGUUAAUAUUCCCGUACUUGGUGUUACUGCGAAGGGGGGACGGAGAAGGCUAUGUUGGCCGGGCGACGGUUGUCCCGGUUUAAGCGUGUAGGUGUGUGUUCCAGGUAAAUCCGGUUCACUUUAACACUGAGGUGUGAUGACGAGGCACUACGGUGCUGAAGCAACAAAUGCCCUGCUUCCAGGAAAAGCCUCUAAGCAUCAGGUAACAUCAAAUCGUACCCCAAACCGACACAGGUGGUCAGGUAGAGAAUACCAAGGCGCUUGAGAGAACUCGGGUGAAGGAACUAGGCAAAAUGGUGCCGUAACUUCGGGAGAAGGCACGCUGACACGUAGGUGAAGUGAUUUACUCAUGGAGCUGAAGUCAGUCGAAGAUACCAGCUGGCUGCAACUGUUUAUUAAAAACACAGCACUGUGCAAACACGAAAGUGGACGUAUACGGUGUGACGCCUGCCCGGUGCCGGAAGGUUAAUUGAUGGGGUCAGCGCAAGCGAAGCUCCUGAUCGAAGCCCCGGUAAACGGCGGCCGUAACUAUAACGGUCCUAAGGUAGCGAAAUUCCUUGUCGGGUAAGUUCCGACCUGCACGAAUGGCGUAAUGAUGGCCAGGCUGUCUCCACCCGAGACUCAGUGAAAUUGAACUCGCUGUGAAGAUGCAGUGUACCCGCGGCAAGACGGAAAGACCCCGUGAACCUUUACUAUAGCUUGACACUGAACAUUGAGCCUUGAUGUGUAGGAUAGGUGGGAGGCUUUGAAGUGUGGACGCCAGUCUGCAUGGAGCCGACCUUGAAAUACCACCCUUUAAUGUUUGAUGUUCUAACGUGGACCCGUGAUCCGGGUUGCGGACAGUGUCUGGUGGGUAGUUUGACUGGGGCGGUCUCCUCCUAAAGAGUAACGGAGGAGCACGAAGGUUGGCUAAUCCUGGUCGGACAUCAGGAGGUUAGUGCAAUGGCAUAAGCCAGCUUGACUGCGAGCGUGACGGCGCGAGCAGGUGCGAAAGCAGGUCAUAGUGAUCCGGUGGUUCUGAAUGGAAGGGCCAUCGCUCAACGGAUAAAAGGUACUCCGGGGAUAACAGGCUGAUACCGCCCAAGAGUUCAUAUCGACGGCGGUGUUUGGCACCUCGAUGUCGGCUCAUCACAUCCUGGGGCUGAAGUAGGUCCCAAGGGUAUGGCUGUUCGCCAUUUAAAGUGGUACGCGAGCUGGGUUUAGAACGUCGUGAGACAGUUCGGUCCCUAUCUGCCGUGGGCGCUGGAGAACUGAGGGGGGCUGCUCCUAGUACGAGAGGACCGGAGUGGACGCAUCACUGGUGUUCGGGUUGUCAUGCCAAUGGCACUGCCCGGUAGCUAAAUGCGGAAGAGAUAAGUGCUGAAAGCAUCUAAGCACGAAACUUGCCCCGAGAUGAGUUCUCCCUGAGACUUAGAGUCUCCUGAAGGAACGUUGAAGACGACGACGUUGAUAGGCCGGGUGUGUAAGCGCAGCGAUGCGUUGAGCUAACCGGUACUAAUGAACCGUGAGGCUUAACCUUACA
This 2368-nucleotide ribosomal RNA is filed under the name Salmonella enterica subsp. enterica. RNAcentral describes it as "partial 23S ribosomal RNA". It matches the Rfam family "Bacterial large subunit ribosomal RNA", at positions 582 to 2925 of the family's 2925-position model. Lineage: Bacteria; Pseudomonadati; Pseudomonadota; Gammaproteobacteria; Enterobacterales; Enterobacteriaceae. The record is from RNAcentral.